Molecule: ribosomal RNA, 143 nt
Filed under: uncultured eukaryote
Lineage: Eukaryota
Description: partial 18S ribosomal RNA
Rfam family: Eukaryotic small subunit ribosomal RNA
Source: RNAcentral
UGGUGGAGUGAUUUGUCUGGUUAAUUCCGUUAACGAACGAGACCCCUGCCUGCUAAAUAGUCCAGUGAGUGAAUUUUCACUGACUGCUGGCUUCUUAGAGGGACGUGCAUUCUAUUAGAUGCAGGAAGAUAGGGGCAAUAACA